UUUGUACGGAACAAAUUUAAAAGUACUAGUUUUUAGACUUUUUAAUUUAAAAAAAGAAUAACUUAGUAGUUAUUAUCAAAUAUUUAAACAACAAAAGUUUUUCAAAUUCAAACAUUUAACUCUAUUUACUAUUCAGACUAAUUUAAAUCCAUUCAGGUUUCAAAUAAAAAAAAAAAACUACACCACCUUAAUUUGGUUAGAAUGAACUUCACAUUUUUUUUUCCCUAAUUGCUUGUUAGAAUACACAUAAUCUCACAUUUACAUAUGUUGUAAGUUUUCUUAGGGUCGAAAUCAAUGCAAAAAUGACACAUUAGUGAAAAUGUGUAGUCAAACAUUGAUGUCACAAUGACUUUGGAAGGAUAAGGUGAUAUUUAAUAGUACGUGGCACGCCAUAUUAUAUGGGAUUGUUUUAGUUAAUGUAAUGCAGUCCCAUAUUUAGUAAAUCUUUCUAUUCACAUAAUACGAACACUGCCAUAUUAAAGAAAGACGAAGGGGUUGAGUUUGUGUAAUACGACAUUGUUCACUUUAAUUUUUUAAUUCUUUAAUUAAAUUAAUAGAAGUUAAAUAAAAAUAUAUAAUAUUAAUUAAAAUUAAAAACUUAAAUAUGCUACCGCUGGUGUUAAUAAACUGCCAACAACAAUUUGAGGGGAGCCCAAGGCCGCCACAUAAUAUUAGUUUUGCACUAAAAUAUGGUACUAUUAGAAUUCUUAUUUCCGUUUGCUAUUAAUUUAUGAUAAAAAUUUGAAAACUAAAAUUUUGACUGUUGAUCUGAAGUGAAUGAAAAUUCCUUUGUUAAUAAGAGUUGCACCAACAUAUAGUCCCGAUAAUACAAAUUUUGAUUCUACCAACAUAUAGUCCAAAUGAUACUAUACGACGGCAAGCUGUGGAUUGGAAUGGCCAAUAGUGAAAAUUAUUUUUUUAAUUAUUAAUUGAAUAUAAAUAGUAA
RNAcentral lists this long non-coding RNA (946 nucleotides) under Citrus x clementina. Its description in RNAcentral is "Citrus clementina (C. clementina) long non-coding RNA (CCLE_LNC005416)". The record is from RNAcentral. Lineage: Eukaryota; Viridiplantae; Streptophyta; Magnoliopsida; Sapindales; Rutaceae.